CCUACGGGUGGCAGCAGUGAGGAAUAUUGGUCAAUGGACGAAAGUCUGAACCAGCCAAGCAGCGUGAAGGAUGACGGCCCUCUGAUUUUUAAACUCCUUUUAUAUGGGAGUAAAAUGUGACACGUGUUUAUUUUUGAAUGUCCCAUAAGUAUAAGGCUCGGCUAACUCCGUGCCAGCAGCCGCGGUAAUACGGAGGAUCCAAGCGUUAUCCGGAUUUAUUGGGUGUAAAGGGAGCGUAGGUGGUUUGUUAAGUAAGUUGUGAAAGUUCGAGGCUCAACCUCAGAAGUGCAUUUGAAACUGUCAGACUUGAGUACAGGAGGGGUGGGCGGAAUUCGUGGUGUAGCGGUGAAAUGCGUAGAUAUCAGGAAGAACACCGAUUGCGAAGGCAGCUUACUAGACUGUAACUGACACUGAGGCACGAAAGCGUGGGUAUCAAACAGGAUUAGAUACCCUUGUAGUC
RNAcentral lists this ribosomal RNA (460 nucleotides) under uncultured bacterium. Its description in RNAcentral is "partial 16S ribosomal RNA". It matches the Rfam family "Bacterial small subunit ribosomal RNA", at positions 338 to 795 of the family's 1533-position model. The record is from RNAcentral.